This 225-nucleotide unclassified non-coding RNA is filed under the name rhizosphere metagenome. RNAcentral describes it as "partial ribosomal RNA internal transcribed spacer region". The record is from RNAcentral.
GUAGGUGAACCUGCGGAAGGAUCAUUACAGAGUUAGGGUCUCUUCAGGCCCGACCUCCAACCCAAUGUGUACCUAUCCCUGUUGCUUUGGCGGGCCCGCUGGGGUGACCCACCGGUGGCCUUUGGCUUCCGAGUGCCCGUCAGAGACCCAUCCAAACCCGUUAAUUGUGUCGUCUGAGUACCAAUGUAAUAAUUAAAACUUUCAACAACGGAUCUCUUGGUUCUG